This 464-nucleotide ribosomal RNA is filed under the name uncultured bacterium. RNAcentral describes it as "partial 16S ribosomal RNA". It matches the Rfam family "Bacterial small subunit ribosomal RNA", at positions 28 to 505 of the family's 1533-position model. The record is from RNAcentral.
GAUGAACGCUGGCGGCGUGCUUAACACAUGCAAGUCGAACGAUGAAGCUCAGCUUGCUGGGUGGAUUAGUGGCGAACGGGUGAGUAACACGUGAGUAACCUGCCCUUAACUCUGGGAUAAGCCUGGGAAACUAGGUCUAAUACCGGAUAGGAGCGCCUACCGCAUGGUGGGUGUUGGAAAGAUUUAUCGGUUUUGGAUGGACUCGCGGCCUAUCAGCUUGUUGGUGAGGUAAUGGCUCACCAAGGCGACGACGGGUAGCCGGCCUGAGAGGGUGACCGGCCACACUGGGACUGAGACACGGCCCAGACUCCUACGGGAGGCGGCAGUGGGGAAUAUUGCACAAUGGGCGAAAGCCUGAUGCAGCGACGCCGCGUGAGGGAUGACGGCCUUCGGGUUGUAAACCUCUUUCAGUAGGGAAGAAGCGAAAGUGACGGUACCUGCAGAAGAAGCACCGGCUAACGACG